Molecule: transfer RNA, 573 nt
Filed under: coccoid cyanobacterium CMT-3BRIN-NPC116
Lineage: Bacteria; Bacillati; Cyanobacteriota
Description: 16S-23S ribosomal RNA intergenic spacer
Rfam family: tRNA (bases 260-332)
Source: RNAcentral
UUAGGGAGACCUGCUGCCACCAUGACCGACCCAAUUAUUUAGGUCAGAUGCCAGUCAUCCCAAGGUCGUGCGAGGAAACAACUGGGCAAGAUAGCUUUCAAACUCUUCAACGGUUCGGUUUAUGGGCUAUUAGCUCAGGUGGUUAGAGCGCACCCCUGAUAAGGGUGAGGUCCCUGGUUCGAGUCCAGGAUGGCCCACCUUAACAGAAAGAAGUCAAAAGUAUGGAAUUAACACCUCCUUACUAGAAGCUUUUUUUGAGGGGGGUAUAGCUCAGCUGGUAGAGCGCUGCCUUUGCAAGGCAGAUGUCAGCGGUUCGAGUCCGCUUACCUCCACUCGACCAGUAAAACCAAAAAGAAAAAUUAAAUCAUACCUUGUUUAUCUUCCAUAAUUGGUGAUAGACUAGAUAAAGUGAAAAAAAAGAAUCCUGCAACUGUUAGGUUCAGUCCUUGCAGCCUGCUGGAAUUCUUUCCAGCCAGAACCUUGAAAACUGCAUAGCAACAAGUCAUAGGUAGUCAGUAGAAAGUAGAAGUCAUUAAUUUGACUUUUACGGAAAUUACAGACUUUGAUUUAAGU